RNAcentral lists this unclassified non-coding RNA (241 nucleotides) under plant metagenome. Its description in RNAcentral is "partial contains small subunit ribosomal RNA, internal transcribed spacer 1, and 5.8S ribosomal RNA". The record is from RNAcentral.
UUUCCGUAGGUGAACCUGCGGAAGGAUCAUUAUUGAAUGAAACACUUCUGGCUUUAUGCUGUUGUGCUGGCCCUUUGGGCAAUGUGCACACGGCUCUGGUCACUUGUUUCUUCUGUCCCACCUGUGCACUGCCUGUAGACACGCUGUGUCUAUGAUAUUUGUUAACACACAACAAUGUUAGUUGGCAUGUUAUAUAUAAUAAUGAAAUAUACAACUUUCAACAACGGAUCUCUUGGCUCUC